Molecule: non-coding RNA, 29 nt
Filed under: Mus musculus (house mouse)
Lineage: Eukaryota; Metazoa; Chordata; Mammalia; Rodentia; Muridae
Source: RNAcentral
UGUGAAUGCAGUGUACCAGGAUGGAGACA